RNAcentral lists this ribosomal RNA (723 nucleotides) under uncultured bacterium. RNAcentral describes it as "partial 16S ribosomal RNA". It matches the Rfam family "Bacterial small subunit ribosomal RNA", at positions 108 to 851 of the family's 1533-position model. The record is from RNAcentral.
GAGUAACACGUGGAGAACCUGCCCCCUCCCCCGGGAUAGCCGCCCGAAAGGACGGGUAAUACCGGAUACCCCGGGGCGCCGCAUGGCGCCCGGGCUAAAGCCCCGACGGGAGGGGAUGGCUCCGCGGCCCAUCAGGUAGACGGCGGGGUGACGGCCCACCGUGCCGACAACGGGUAGCCGGGUUGAGAGACCGACCGGCCAGAUUGGGACUGAGACACGGCCCAGACUCCUACGGGAGGCAGCAGUGGGGAAUCUUGCGCAAUGGGGGGAACCCUGACGCAGCGACGCCGCGUGCGGGACGGAGGCCUUCGGGUCGUAAACCGCUUUCAGCAGGGAAGAGUCAAGACUGUACCUGCAGAAGAAGCCCCGGCUAACUACGUGCCAGCAGCCGCGGUAAUACGUAGGGGGCGAGCGUUAUCCGGAUUCAUUGGGCGUAAAGCGCGCGUAGGCGGCCCGGCAGGCCGGGGGUCGAAGCGGGGGGCUCAACCCCCCGAAGCCCCCGGAACCUCCGCGGCUUGGGUCCGGUAGGGGAGGGUGGAACACCCGGUGUAGCGGUGGAAUGCGCAGAUAUCGGGUGGAACACCGGUGGCGAAGGCGGCCCUCUGGGCCGAGACCGACGCUGAGGCGCGAAAGCUGGGGGAGCGAACAGGAUUAGAUACCCUGGUAGUCCCAGCCGUAAACGAUGGACGCUAGGUGUGGGGGGACGAUCCCCCCGUGCCGCAG